UAAUAUAGCGCUUUUAGCAGCUUAAUUUCGACUUAAGUUAAGGGAAUAGUAG
RNAcentral lists this transfer RNA (52 nucleotides) under Cyrtophora moluccensis. RNAcentral's name for it is "tRNA-Arg". Lineage: Eukaryota; Metazoa; Arthropoda; Arachnida; Araneae; Araneidae. The record is from RNAcentral.